CAGCGCGCGGUAAUACGAAGGGUGCAAGCGUUACUCGGAAUUACUGGGCGUAAAGCGUGCGUAGGUGGUGGUUUAAGUCCGUUGUGAAAGCCCUGGGCUCAACCUGGGAAUUGCAGUGGAUACUGGAUCACUAGAGUGUGGUAGAGGAUAGUGGAAUUUCCGGUGUAGCAGUGAAGUGCGUAGAGAUCGGAAGGAACAUCUGUGGCGAAGGCGACUAUCUGGGCCAACACUGACACUGAGGCACGAAAGCGUGGGGAGCAAACAGGAUUAGAUACCCCUGUAGUCCCUGUCUCUUAUACAC
This 301-nucleotide ribosomal RNA is filed under the name uncultured bacterium. RNAcentral's name for it is "partial 16S ribosomal RNA". It matches the Rfam family "Bacterial small subunit ribosomal RNA", at positions 509 to 809 of the family's 1533-position model. The record is from RNAcentral.